This 253-nucleotide ribosomal RNA is filed under the name uncultured bacterium. RNAcentral describes it as "partial 16S ribosomal RNA". It matches the Rfam family "Bacterial small subunit ribosomal RNA", at positions 524 to 776 of the family's 1533-position model. The record is from RNAcentral.
UACGGGGGGGGCAAGCGUUGUUCGGAAUUACUGGGCGUAAAGGGCUCGUAGGCGGCCAACUAAGUCAGACGUGAAAUCCCCAGGCUCAACCUGGGAACUGCGUCUGAUACUGGAUGGCUUGAAUCCGGGAGAGGGAUGCAGAAUUCCAGGUGUAGCGGUGAAAUGCGUAGAUAUCAGGAGGAACACCAAUGGCGAAGGCAGAUCUCUGGGCCGUAACUGACGCUGAGGAGCGAAAGCAUGGGGAGCGAACAGG